Molecule: ribosomal RNA, 447 nt
Filed under: uncultured bacterium
Lineage: Bacteria
Description: partial 16S ribosomal RNA
Rfam family: Bacterial small subunit ribosomal RNA
Source: RNAcentral
CCCAGACUCCUACGGGAGGCAGCAGUGGGGGAUAUUGCACAAUGGGGGGAACCCUGAUGCAGCGACGCCGCGUGGGUGAAGGAGCGUUUCGGCGCGUAAAGCCCUAUCGGCAGGGAAGAAGGAGGACGGUACCUGACUAAGAAGCCCCGGCUAACUACGUGCCAGCAGCCGCGGUAAUACGUAGGGGGCAAGCGUUAUCCGGAUUUACUGGGUGUAAAGGGGGCGCAGACGGCAGCGCAAGCCAGGAGUGAAAGCCCGGGGCCCAACCCCGGGACUGCUCUUGGAACUGCGCGGCUGGAGUGCAGGAGGGGCAGGCGGAAUUCCUGGUGUAGCGGUGAAAUGCGUAGAUAUCAGGAGGAACACCGGUGGCGAAGGCGGCCUGCUGGACUGCGACUGACGUUGAGGCCCGAAAGCGUGGGGAGCAAACAGGAUUAGAUACCCCCGGAA